Long non-coding RNA from Clupea harengus (Atlantic herring), 1184 nucleotides. RefSeq lists it as uncharacterized. The transcript has 3 exons. The record is from RefSeq and is a predicted model, not a curated record. NCBI's taxonomy places the organism in Eukaryota, Metazoa, Chordata, Actinopteri, Clupeiformes, Clupeidae.
UUUAAGCCCGAGCUGUCUUGUGCUACACCUGACUGACGUCACUCAAUGCGACGCUGAUGCAUCAAUUAUCAGUCUCGGAACUUCUUUAAAAGCACUGCGCUGGUGAUAGCCAAGUAAGCGGCAGGACUGAUUUUGGAUCAUCUAUUUGUGUCCGUUGGUUCGUUUAUCGUGGCAUUUUCCUUCGUGGGCAACCACGAGCGUUGCAAGCCCAAGGCCGCUGUGCGGCUGCUUUUCCCUUUACUGGCUGCUUGGUGGUUUCGGCAGUACAUUCCACUUCACGUGAAGUUCCGGUUAAUCCCUGGCUGUGAUUGUCGGCUGACGGCAAGAAAUUGAGGCUGCCUUCCGUCACCAGCUGCUGUUUUGUUUCUACUUAAAGUUCCUUUUUGUUAUAUGUUUGUCCAUUGAUUACUGACCAUUGUUGCACUGCGUGCGUGCUGCCAGCUCAUGGUAACCUGCGGGUGUGCGUGCAGGUGUUGAGGAGUGUCGGUGAGGAUUAUUUUGCUUUCCUUUUAAUGUUUGUAAGUCUCCAUUGUCUGCAUGUUUUGUUGUUUGUUUCCUUGUCCUCUCUGCCUGCUGUAAAACCCCACCAGUGGCGAACUUACCCCUGUGACUGGGCACCUAACACUGUGGCUAGUUGUUAUUUGCAGUGCUCUUAUUUUAAGGUGCUUGUAGUGCCCAUUUGGGGUGUAAUGUUUUGCUGUGCUUGACUGUGCUACUUCACAUUCCUUUACUGCCCAAUGAGUCCGACGGGGUGGGACGUCUGUUGGUCUCCAGAGGCUUGAUUUGUGUACUAGUUGAACGUGUGUGUGUUUGUUUUCUGGUUGUCCUUUUUGUUGCAGGAGUUGGGUACUGUCAGUGUAACGGGAGCAAAUGUCAUUCAUUUGAACACAUGUUUGGGGGCGGGACAGCCGAUAUCGUUCUGUAUGUUUGCUGUGUCGGUGUUCGUGUGACAUCUCUCUACAGGUGUUCCUUAUCUGCGGGCUGAUUUGACCACCUACGGGAUUGGCUGGGUAAAGGCAUAAGAACAAACCAAGAUCUCCUCUCAAGGCUCGCACCCGACUACGGGCGACAACGGUUUCUACACACGGAGGCGAGAUCCGGAGCCAGCCGCCCUCUUCCCCGAGUCCUGGAUGAUUGGUCAGCACGGUGCCUCCAAGCCUCACCAGAUUGUUCAACGCACUCAA